GACGAACGCUGGCGGCGUGCUUAACACAUGCAAGUCGAACGGUAACAGGUCUUCGGAUGCUGACGAGUGGCGAACGGGUGAGUAAUACAUCGGAACGUGCCUAGUAGUGGGGGAUAACUACUCGAAAGAGUGGCUAAUACCGCAUGAGAUCUACGGAUGAAAGCAGGGGAUCGCAAGACCUUGUGCUACUAGAGCGGCCGAUGGCAGAUUAGGUAGUUGGUGGGAUAAAAGCUUACCAAGCCGACGAUCUGUAGCUGGUCUGAGAGGACGAUCAGCCACACUGGGACUGAGACACGGCCCAGACUCCUACGGGAGGCAGCAGUGGGGAAUUUUGGACAAUGGGCGAAAGCCUGAUCCAGCAAUGCCGCGUGCAGGAUGAAGGCCUUCGGGUUGUAAACUGCUUUUGUACGGAACGAAAAGCUCUGGGUUAAUACCCUGGGGUCAUGACGGUACCGUAAGAAUAAGCACCGGCUGACUACGUGCCAGCCGCCGCAGUAA
Molecule: ribosomal RNA, 498 nt
Filed under: uncultured bacterium
Lineage: Bacteria
Description: partial 16S ribosomal RNA
Rfam family: Bacterial small subunit ribosomal RNA
Source: RNAcentral